UUGGGAAAAGUUUUUUAUACAAAACGGUGGGACUUGGUAUAGCAAGCUUACGGAGAAUUUGCCCUUUAAAGGGAAUAAAUGAAAGGGGGUUUAUUUAAGGGAAAUUGUGGAGAAUGGCAAACUAAGAAAGGUAAUUAAAUCAAAUAAAUCCCCUUUUAGUUAUUUUCUUUAAAGGACAAACUCUCUGUAAGUUUGUUAUACCAGGUCACACCAUUUUGUAUGAUUUUGCCCAUUUUGAGUUGGCAUUUCUUAUAUGGCUUAUUUUGGUCAACAUUAUGAGUUUUGAGCAUCAUAUCCCCAAAAUAAAAUCCUCUUUUUCCCUCUUUGUGCGCUUUUUAUACAAUUUCUUCUUCAUCCUUCAAUUUUUUCACAAUUUUCUCCAUAAUUGCAAUUUCAAACUACCAGCUUUAUCUAUCACGCACGUCAUUGUGUUUUUUCAAACUAUUUCAAAAAUUUCAAGAAUUUUGGUUUCAAUCAAUGGAUGCCCAAUCUCCAUUGAGAAGAUUCACAAGAGGUUCAUUGUGUAAAUCUACUACCGUUCAAGAGAUUAGAUCCAAAUUCAAUGAUGACCCAAUUAGAUUUGUUGAUGGAGGUGUAAAAAAUCAUGUCGAUGUUGUUACUGGGUCAAGUAAGAAAAGGAAAAA
Non-coding RNA from Solanum lycopersicum (tomato), 644 nucleotides. The record is from RefSeq and is a predicted model, not a curated record. Lineage: Eukaryota; Viridiplantae; Streptophyta; Magnoliopsida; Solanales; Solanaceae.